UAAGGAUGAGCUGUUUCAUUAAGGACCAAAGUAUUUUUCCGUAAAUGGGAAUCUAUGCAUUUUGUUUUUCUGUGUUAAAUAGAGUGUUUGGCUGCCUUCACUGUUGAAUAAUGCAUUUUACUCUUGUAUCUUAUUUCAGAGAACUGGGCAUUCCACACGGACAUUUGGCAGAUUUACCCAUGGCUCUCUAACCAGUAAACAUAUCUGUCAGCCACCCAGCAGUUUGGCUGGUGAUUUUAGACUCUAAUGGGUACG
Molecule: long non-coding RNA, 255 nt
Organism: Astatotilapia calliptera (eastern happy)
Lineage: Eukaryota; Metazoa; Chordata; Actinopteri; Cichliformes; Cichlidae
Source: Ensembl